RNAcentral lists this long non-coding RNA (1039 nucleotides) under Olea europaea (common olive). RNAcentral's name for it is "long non-coding RNA (OEUR_LNC004849)". The record is from RNAcentral. Lineage: Eukaryota; Viridiplantae; Streptophyta; Magnoliopsida; Lamiales; Oleaceae.
UCAAAGACAUGGACCUAAAUUCAGCGACCAUUGGAACAAUUAAUUGGUUAAAUUUAUUAUUAGUGUUAAGAGAUAAUUGCAGCAAAAACUCCUAAUCGUUGAAGCACUAGUAGAUUUUUUUCAAAUAUUUCAUCUGUUACAUACGCCAUCUCUAACCCUUUCAGCCAUUGUAGGUGAGACCAUUUUGGAUUGUUUCCGUCCAAAGUUGACCACCAAAAUAAGUUUUGACCACUUUCUACCAAAAUAAGGGAGGGCAAAAUGGUAACUUAAUAUUUUUACCAUAAAACUAGUAAAAAAAAAAAUUGAAUAAAAAACAAAAUGGGUUGUGCACAAUCAAGAAUGCACAAUGAUGAAUCAGUGUCAAUCCGACGCCACCUUGAGCGACUACGGUAUCGUGAGGUGUCGUCGCGCCCGCCAGCUAUAGUAGUGUCCCCGGAGAUCUAACUCUUAUGGAGCAACUCCCGCCUUUUGUGGUGGAGUCCAGUGUGCCUCCUCCGCCACUCUUGAGCUUUUCCCCUCUCCCACCCAUUUUACAUUCAAUGACCAUACCUACUGCGCUCUCUCACUCGAAGAAAAUGAAGAGAAAAAAAAAUGAAAGGUAUUGCUAUUGAUGAGAGUGAUAAAGAAGAGAAAUGAAGGCUUAAUAGAAUGAAAAAAAAGGAUCGAGGAGGUGGGCCCCGAAAUCCCAAUAAGAAUCCCUAAUCUUCCUUCGCCACUAGUCCUCAAAAUCAUGGCCUGGGAUUACUUUUUCAUGGGAGACAAUAUGCUUGGUCAAUCAUUGGAGGAGGUGGAGGAAGAAGACGAUGAGGAGCAUUAUAUGGGAGGACAAAAGGGCACUAAAAAUGGGCAUUUCAAAAAGUAACAAUAACAUGGAGUUCAAGACGGCGGAGAAAAAUAUGGGAUUCCCAACACAUCCUACGGCAACCUUAGUUUAUAUUACAUAUGCAUUGGAGGGUUUUUCUCUUAUCUCUAUACAUAUGUGUCUAUAUAUGUAUUUGAGGAUGUGAAUGGACAAUAGAUUCUAGGUGUGCCGAUGGUU